GUGAACGCUGGCGGUAGGCCUAACACAUGCAAGUCGAACGGCAGCACAGUAAGAGCUUGCUCUUACGGGUGGCGAGUGGCGGACGGGUGAGGAAUACAUCGGAAUCUACUUUUUCGUGGGGGAUAACGUAGGGAAACUUACGCUAAUACCGCAUACGACCUACGGGUGAAAGCAGGGGAUCUUCGGACCUUGCGCGAUUGAAUGAGCCGAUGUCGGAUUAGCUAGUUGGCGGGGUAAAGGCCCACCAAGGCGACGAUCCUUAGCUGGUCUGAGAGGAUGAUCAGCCACACUGGAACUGAGACACGGUCCAGACUCCUACGGGAGGCAGCAGUGGGGAAUAUUGGACAAUGGGCGCAAGCCUGAUCCAGCCAUACCGCGUGGGUGAAGAAGGCCUUCGGGUUGUAAAGCCCUUUUGUUGGGAAAGAAAAGCAGCAGGUUAAUACCCCGCUGUUCUGACGGUACCCAAAGAAUAAGCACCGGCUAACUUCGUG
Molecule: ribosomal RNA, 491 nt
Filed under: uncultured bacterium
Lineage: Bacteria
Description: partial 16S ribosomal RNA
Rfam family: Bacterial small subunit ribosomal RNA
Source: RNAcentral